UACGUAGGCAGCGAGCGUUGUUCGGAGUUACUGGGCGUAAAGCGUGCGUAGGCGGUGCCAUAAGUCUGUUGUGAAAUCUCCCGGCUUAACUGGGAGGGUGCGGUGGAAACUGUGGUGCUGGAGUGUGGGAGAGGUAGGCGGAAUUCCUGGUGUAGCGGUGAAAUGCGUAGAUAUCAGGAGGAACACCUGUGGUGUAGACGGCUUACUGGACCAUGACUGACGCUGAGGCACGAAAGCGCGGGGAGCAAACAGG
Molecule: ribosomal RNA, 253 nt
Filed under: uncultured bacterium
Lineage: Bacteria
Description: partial 16S ribosomal RNA
Rfam family: Bacterial small subunit ribosomal RNA
Source: RNAcentral